AUUUGAUAAGUUUCGGUGUCGUGUGUGGAAUUUGGAUAUUUCAACAUUCAUUAGGAUUGAAUCUGUGUGUAAUUCGUAUUUUUGAUGUUAUUUGAGGUUAUUUUAGGAUUCGACUAAGUUCCUAUCAGGUUAUAAGACUUUUUAGUAUGUUUGGUUGAGGUCCCGGAGGCCUCAGGUUGAUUUCGGGUGGUUAACGGAUUUGGUUUUGAGUUGGUGAAAUAGCUGAAGUUUGUGGUUUUUGGUUCAUUUGGUUUCCUCUUAUACAUUUGCGAGGGAGGUCUCGUGUUCGUGAAGUGUACUUGGAGGCCGAUCGAAAUUUUCUCUUCGUGUUAGCGAAGAGGAGCCCAUGUUUGUGAAGAUGUGGUCAGUGGAGGCAUGGCGAACGCGAGAAGCGUAAUGCAUUUGAGAAGAGGAGUGAGGAAGCUGGGGACCCUAGCCAUUUGGUCUAUGCAUUCGUGGAAGGGUAGGUGAGGGGUCAACAAAACGUUGCAUUCGUGGUUGGUUGGAUGCAUUUGCAAAGAGGGUUUUGCGCGACAGAAUCAAUUGUUCUACGUGAACGCGAGUGAAAAGCCAUGUUCGCGAUGAAGGAAUAUUUGGGUAGCAGUGUUAAAUUUCAAAAACGAGGAUUUGAACCCAUUUUUUAUAUUUUGAGCUAGAGAGCACAGAUGGGUGAUUCAUGAAAGGAUUUUCAAGGAGUUGAUUGGGGUAAGUGAUUCUUACUUAGUUUUAACUAAAUUCCAUGAUUAUGCCUUGAAUUCCAUCAUCUAAUUUGGGCUUUGGGGUGGAAAAUUGGGGGAAAAGAGGAAUAUUUCUUGAGUUAGAUUUUUGAGGUUUCGAAUGAGAUUUUGUUAUUGCAUUUGGGUAAAUUUGGUAAGGUUAGCCUCGUGCAUGAAUGAGCUUUCGGGUUUUAUAACUUUUGUUGAAUUUCGAGACGUGGGUCCAGGGGGCCGGGUUUGAGCUUAUUUCAAAUUUUGGCUAUAAUUUUGUGUUUUUCUUGUAGAAUUGACCCCUUUAUAUUAAUUGUAUUUGUACUGCUUGUUGCUAGAUUCAAAAUUUUUGGAGACCGAUUUGAGAGACAAAGGCAUUUUGGAGUAUAAUUGUUCCCGGAUUGAGGUAACUAACACUUUCAAACUUGGUUUUGAGGGUUCAAGACCUCGAACUAUGUG
This 1166-nucleotide long non-coding RNA is filed under the name Nicotiana benthamiana. RNAcentral describes it as "long non-coding RNA (NBEN_LNC037873)". The record is from RNAcentral. Lineage: Eukaryota; Viridiplantae; Streptophyta; Magnoliopsida; Solanales; Solanaceae.